This 468-nucleotide ribosomal RNA is filed under the name uncultured bacterium. RNAcentral describes it as "partial 16S ribosomal RNA". It matches the Rfam family "Bacterial small subunit ribosomal RNA", at positions 28 to 507 of the family's 1533-position model. The record is from RNAcentral.
GACGAACGCUGGCGGCGUGCUUAACACAUGCAAGUCGAACGGAAAGGCCCUGCUUUUGUGGGGUGCUCGAGUGGCGAACGGGUGAGUAACACGUGAGUAACCUGCCCUUGACUUUGGGAUAACUUCAGGAAACUGGGGCUAAUACCGGAUAGGAGCUCCUGCAGCAUGGUGGGGGUUGGAAAGUUUCGGCGGUUGGGGAUGGACUCGCGGCUUAUCAGCUUGUUGGUGGGGUAGUGGCUUACCAAGGCUUUGACGGGUAGCCGGCCUGAGAGGGUGACCGGCCACAUUGGGACUGAGAUACGGCCCAGACUCCUACGGGAGGCAGCAGUGGGGAAUAUUACACAAUGGGCGGAAGCCUGAUGCAGCAACGCCGCGUGCGGGAUGACGGCCUUCGGGUUGUAAACCGCUUUCGCCUGUGACGAAGCGUGAGUGACGGUAAUGGGUAAAGAAGCACCGGCUAACUACGUG